This 1345-nucleotide ribosomal RNA is filed under the name Salmonella enterica. Its description in RNAcentral is "partial 23S ribosomal RNA". It matches the Rfam family "Bacterial large subunit ribosomal RNA", at positions 1479 to 2802 of the family's 2925-position model. The record is from RNAcentral. Lineage: Bacteria; Pseudomonadati; Pseudomonadota; Gammaproteobacteria; Enterobacterales; Enterobacteriaceae. RNAcentral also lists the same sequence under 1 other name.
AGGCUAUGUUGGCCGGGCGACGGUUGUCCCGGUUUAAGCGUGUAGGUGUGUGUUCCAGGUAAAUCCGGUUCACUUUAACACUGAGGCGUGACGACGAGGCACUACGGUGCUGAAGCAACAAAUGCCCUGCUUCCAGGAAAAGCCUCUAAGCAUCAGGUAACAUCAAAUCGUACCCCAAACCGACACAGGUGGUCAGGUAGAGAAUACCAAGGCGCUUGAGAGAACUCGGGUGAAGGAACUAGGCAAAAUGGUGCCGUAACUUCGGGAGAAGGCACGCUGACACGUAGGUGAAGUGAUUUACUCAUGGAGCUGAAGUCAGUCGAAGAUACCAGCUGGCUGCAACUGUUUAUUAAAAACACAGCACUGUGCAAACACGAAAGUGGACGUAUACGGUGUGACGCCUGCCCGGUGCCGGAAGGUUAAUUGAUGGGGUCAGCGCAAGCGAAGCUCCUGAUCGAAGCCCCGGUAAACGGCGGCCGUAACUAUAACGGUCCUAAGGUAGCGAAAUUCCUUGUCGGGUAAGUUCCGACCUGCACGAAUGGCGUAAUGAUGGCCAGGCUGUCUCCACCCGAGACUCAGUGAAAUUGAACUCGCUGUGAAGAUGCAGUGUACCCGCGGCAAGACGGAAAGACCCCGUGAACCUUUACUAUAGCUUGACACUGAACAUUGAGCCUUGAUGUGUAGGAUAGGUGGGAGGCUUUGAAGUGUGGACGCCAGUCUGCAUGGAGCCGACCUUGAAAUACCACCCUUUAAUGUUUGAUGUUCUAACGUGGACCCGUUACCCGGGUUGCGGACAGUGUCUGGUGGGUAGUUUGACUGGGGCGGUCUCCUCCUAAAGAGUAACGGAGGAGCACGAAGGUUGGCUAAUCCUGGUCGGACAUCAGGAGGUUAGUGCAAUGGCAUAAGCCAGCUUGACUGCGAGCGUGACGGCGCGAGCAGGUGCGAAAGCAGGUCAUAGUGAUCCGGUGGUUCUGAAUGGAAGGGCCAUCGCUCAACGGAUAAAAGGUACUCCGGGGAUAACAGGCUGAUACCGCCCAAGAGUUCAUAUCGACGGCGGUGUUUGGCACCUCGAUGUCGGCUCAUCACAUCCUGGGGCUGAAGUAGGUCCCAAGGGUAUGGCUGUUCGCCAUUUAAAGUGGUACGCGAGCUGGGUUUAGAACGUCGUGAGACAGUUCGGUCCCUAUCUGCCGUGGGCGCUGGAGAACUGAGGGGGGCUGCUCCUAGUACGAGAGGACCGGAGUGGACGCAUCACUGGUGUUCGGGUUGUCAUGCCAAUGGCACUGCCCGGUAGCUAAAUGCGGAAGAGAUAAGUGCUGAAAGCAUCUAAGCACGAAACUUGCCCCGA